UUCGUAGCUCAGCGGAUAGAGCGUCUGUCUCCGGAACAGAAGGUCGAGGGUUCAAAUCCCUUCGAGCC
Molecule: transfer RNA, 68 nt
Filed under: Bifidobacterium asteroides
Lineage: Bacteria; Bacillati; Actinomycetota; Actinomycetes; Bifidobacteriales; Bifidobacteriaceae
Rfam family: tRNA
About the family: Transfer RNA (tRNA) molecules are approximately 80 nucleotides in length. Their secondary structure includes four short double-helical elements and three loops (D, anti-codon, and T loops).
Source: RNAcentral